RNAcentral lists this transfer RNA (71 nucleotides) under Bacteroidales bacterium. Its description in RNAcentral is "tRNA-Gln". It matches the Rfam family "tRNA". Rfam says of the family: Transfer RNA (tRNA) molecules are approximately 80 nucleotides in length. Their secondary structure includes four short double-helical elements and three loops (D, anti-codon, and T loops). Lineage: Bacteria; Pseudomonadati; Bacteroidota; Bacteroidia; Bacteroidales. RNAcentral also lists the same sequence under 1 other name. The record is from RNAcentral.
UGAGAUAUGGUGUAAUGGUAGCACUCAAGUUUUUGGCACUUGCAGUAGAAGUUCGAAUCUUCUUAUCUCAA